Molecule: long non-coding RNA, 982 nt
Filed under: Pan troglodytes (chimpanzee)
Lineage: Eukaryota; Metazoa; Chordata; Mammalia; Primates; Hominidae
Description: long non-coding RNA NONPTRT008044
Source: RNAcentral
CUUUCUCUUUCUUCUUUUUUUUCUUUCUUCUUUCUUUCUUUCUUUUUUUGUAUUUUAGUAGAGAUGGAGUUUUGCCAUGUUUUCCAGGCUGAUCUCAAACUUCUGAUUACAAAAAAUCCACCUGCCUCAGCCUCCCAAAGCAUUGGAAUUACAGGCAUGAGCCAUCACAGCUGUCUACAAUAUACUUUUACAUUUAUGAUUUAGGUGAUGUGUUCUCUUUCUGUCAGGUGCGGGAUGGUUAAAUAUCACUGGACCUAGCACCUAGGUAAUGUGACUCUUGUCUUUUGCAUCAGCUCCACACGUUUUGAGAACUGUAACAUAUCACUGGGCCAAACACCUAGAAGAUGGGAAGUGUCUGCCUAUGCCCUGCAAACAGGGCUUUAGCCCUACCACUCUCAAGAGCCUCGUGACAUAUCUCUGCAUUCAUCAUCUAGGAGAUGUGACUCCUCCCUGCUGCCUGCACUCUGCCUACAGGGAAGACCAUAACAACAUUUGGCCCAGCAACACGGUGAUGUGUUUUUUCCCAGGGCCUUGCUCACAGGGAGCAUUGUGACAUAUCACUGGAACCAGCAUCCAGGGCUGUGACUCUGUGUCUUGCUGUUAGAACAGGAUUGUAACCUAUCACUGGCCAAGCACCCAGGUGAUGUGACUUUUCUGCCUGGUGCCUGCCUUCAGGGAAAAUUGUGACAUAUGCCUGGCCUAACACCAAAGUGAUGUGGCUCUCCUGCUACCUCUAUGCACAGGUGGGAUUGUGACAUAUAUCUUCAUUCAGCUCAUAGGCCUGCCUGCAGGGGAUAUGGUGACAUUUUACUUUGCCCAACACCAAAUGACUUGAAUCUGCUGCCUUUGUUCCACUUUCAGAAGACAUUGUGACAUAUCGCUGGGCCUAGCACCAAGGUGAUGUGAGUCUCCUGCCUGGACCUACUCACAGAGGGAAUUGUUACAUAUUUUUGACUUCAUCAACUAUUUGAUGUGACUCUCC